Long non-coding RNA from Myotis daubentonii (Daubenton's bat), 1511 nucleotides. RefSeq lists it as uncharacterized. The record is from RefSeq and is a predicted model, not a curated record. NCBI's taxonomy places the organism in Eukaryota, Metazoa, Chordata, Mammalia, Chiroptera, Vespertilionidae.
UGUGCAUUUGAAACCUGAGUAAGCAAGUAAGAAACUCAGCUACCAUACUGGAGAAACCAUGUGAAGAUAAAGAAUACCAAAGAACCCCAGGUUUUCAAACACAAGAAUUUGUGUCUUCCCAAUCUAAGCAUCAGACAUCAGAUGUAGUCAUGUAAGAAACUGGUUGGAACUAAGCACCCAGAAGGGAUGGAGAUUUUAAUGCUUUAUAUAGCAAGAGUGGAGAAGCAAGAGGAGUGGUUUCCUUUCAUCCACUAACAGUAAUUAAAACAAUGCGACAAUACUUAAAGUUGGUGCUCCGUUUCUUCAUCUUAAAAGUCAGAGAGCCACCAACCAGCGAGGAAGCCCAAGCAGCUACAUAGAGAGGCUCCAUGGAGAAGAACCAAGACCCUUUGCCAACAGCUCCAACUGAGCUCCCAUCUGGCACCCAGAAACAACUUCCAGUCAUAUGGCAUUUCCUGUCAGCUGUCUGGCUAUCUACCAGAGAAAAGAAAAAUCUCCCAAUAUGGUUCCUGUGGGAAUUCAAAUUGAAUUAGGCUCCAACAGGUCUGAGACCAUGUCUUCUGAAAAUCGUGGAUGCCCAAUAAAUAUGAUUUGAAACUGUCUUGCUGGAAGGACUAAGGCUCUCUAUAAUCCAGUCAAGGCCAGAAAGUCUACCCUUUACUCAGCUAAUGGUGUCUCCUCCUUUCUUCAUCUUGCCUGCUAUUAAAUAGAGCUUUAUAUAGUACCCAGACUGUCAGCCCUCUCAGAUGAAUUACUUUUUCUGAAAAUAAAAUAAAAUAAAAUGAUUCAUGGCCUUGACCCUUGGGGCUGGAAAGUAAUGUCUCAUUGAGUGAAAAGGCAGCAUAAAACUUUAGAAAAACUGCAAUUUAUAUUUCAGCUCAUACCUGCUAACUUUCCAGCAGUUGAUGGAAAUUAUUGUGAAGAAACAAAAAAGAAUUUGGCCAUGUGGUAUGGAAAUAGCAAUAAAAAACUAUUCUGCAUAUAAAAAAUAAAGGAAAGCAAUUAUUAGUAGUCCAGCUACUAGUAGGGUUCAGUCAUUGGUUCUUUUACUCAUUCAGGAUAUUAUAAUCUCUUUGGGGAAAGUUUAUUCCAAAACAUUACUCUUAAUAACUCAUUUGUCGUCUUAUUUAUGUGAAGUAGAUCCACUAAUUCUAGCACAGAAAGACAAAAAUGUGUAAGUAAAAUAUAUUUGGUUUAAGUAGAGUGUAGGAAUGAGGUCAAAUUAUUUUACCAGUUUGAAUAUCAAAAUUCUUAAAGAUUAAUUAAAGAGGGAAUAAAGAGGAACAGAAAACACUAAGUUCAGUCACUCUUCUUAUGUUUUUUUUGCAUUUAUUUUAAAAAGUCAUACAUUGUUUCAAUAGGAAAAAAGUAAUUUAUUAUUUUAAAUGUAGCUGAACUUUCUCCAUUUUGUAUCUUUUGCUUUCUACUUUUGUCCAUUUACAAAUAAAUAUGUAUUAAAUAUCCACUUUGUGCAAUGCAAUAAUAUAAAUAAAACAAUUCCUGACAAUAAA